GAUGAACGCUAGCGGCAGGCUUAACACAUGCAAGUCGAGGGGUAACAGGAGAAAGCUUGCUUUUUCGCUGACGACCGGCGCACGGGUGCGUAACGCGUAUAGAACUUACCUUUUACAGAGGGAUAGCCUUUAGAAAUGAAGAUUAAUACCUCAUAGUACUGAAGUUUGGCAUCAAAAUUUAGUUAAAGAUUUAUCGGUAAAAGAUGGCUAUGCGUCCUAUUAGCUAGAUGGUAAGGUAACGGCUUACCAUGGCAACGAUAGGUAGGGGUCCUGAGAGGGAGAUCCCCCACACUGGUACUGAGACACGGACCAGACUCCUACGGGAGGCAGCAGUGAGGAAUAUUGGGCAAUGGAGGCAACUCUGACCCAGCCAUGCCGCGUGCAGGAAGACUGCCCUAUGGGUUGUAAACUGCUUUUAUACAGGAAGAAACAGUUCUACGUGUAGAACCUUGACGGUACUGUAAGAAUAAGGACCGGCUAACUCCGUGCCAGCAGCCGCGGUAAUACGGAGGGUCCAAGCGUUAUCCGGAAUCAUUGGGUUUAAAGGGUCCGCAGGCGGUCAAUUAAGUCAGAGGUGAAAUCCCAUCGCUUAACGAUGGAACUGCCUUUGAUACUGGUUGACUUGAGUUAUAUGGAAGUAGAUAGAAUAUGUAGUGUAGCGGUGAAAUGCAUAGAUAUUACAUAGAAUACCGAUUGCGAAGGCAGUCUACUACGUAUAUACUGACGCUCAUGGACGAAAGCGUGGGGAGCGAACAGGAUUAGAUACCCUGGUAGUCCACGCCGUAAACGAUGGACACUAGUUGUUGGGAUUUAUUUCAGUGACUAAGCGAAAGUGAUAAGUGUCCCACCUGGGGAGUACGGUCGCAAGAUUGAAACUCAAAGGAAUUGACGGGGGCCCGCACAAGCGGUGGAGCAUGUGGUUUAAUUCGAUGAUACGCGAGGAACCUUACCAGGGCU
This 957-nucleotide ribosomal RNA is filed under the name uncultured bacterium. Its description in RNAcentral is "bacterial SSU rRNA". It matches the Rfam family "Bacterial small subunit ribosomal RNA", at positions 28 to 981 of the family's 1533-position model. The record is from RNAcentral.